AUGGGCCAAGCGCGCAGACGAAAAAAUUUAGCACCAAGUUUUGGCCUAGCCCGCGAACCUCGCUGCUCUUUCCUUCCCAGUACCCCUAAUUCCCCACCACUAGCCGCCGCUCACGCCGCCCCCAACAUCGCAACGCUCACUGCUCUCUCCGGUCGGCCGCUGCACCGCGCCGUCGUCCUCAAACCCUCCUGCCGCCCCCACAGCACCCAUCCCCCCCGAGAUCGAACCCUCUACACCACCAAGGUGCUCCAUCCCCACCCCGUCACCAAGAACUCCGGCCUCUUCGUCAUCCUGGGUGCCGGGCAGAUCCCGGGGAAGACUAUGUCGGCCGUGGAGAAGCACUUCCCACGCUAUCUUGCUUACGUCGGCCCCACGUCGUCCUGCCUACCAGUGCCCCCCACGCGGCCCUGCUCCCCGCCGUUGCCCCCUCCAGGUUGCCGGCUGCGGAGAUUUAUAUCGGAAACAUCAGUGCCAGUGGGUUCUUCUUCAGAGACCAUCCAUUUGACGUUCUGCCCCGAGACCCGAGGACCUUCUUAUGUGCGGAUGUUAAAAGACAUGCCUUCUUUGUACCAUUCGCGAUCUGAAGAGACCAAAUUUUCCACCGAUGACAGGAAGAAGAAGGCCAUUCACAAGACCACGACCACUGAUGGCAAGAUCACGACCUUGAAAAUGGUAGUAGUGAACACCAUUCUUGGUAUCGAAGAGUGCAAACAUCCAUCACAACACAUGGGUAGUCACUGGAACACCACCGAUGAAAAUUUGAUGGAGCUGCAAGAUAUUCUGGCAACACUUAUCAACCAACUGGAGCUAGUCAUCCAUGGUGGCAACGGCAUCGCAAAUGGCUUGCCUACAACAGAGGACUUUGAGCAUGUCACUGAUUUGGAAAUAUUGAAGAAUUACAGCUCCCCACUUCGUGGUCAAUACUUAUGUGCCUCUUUUGCUGCCUUUGAUAAUAGCAUAAAAAUGAGGUGGUGA
RNAcentral lists this ribosomal RNA (975 nucleotides) under Triticum aestivum (bread wheat). RNAcentral's name for it is "partial small subunit ribosomal RNA". Lineage: Eukaryota; Viridiplantae; Streptophyta; Magnoliopsida; Poales; Poaceae. The record is from RNAcentral.